RNAcentral lists this long non-coding RNA (1731 nucleotides) under Sorghum bicolor (sorghum). RNAcentral describes it as "long non-coding RNA (SBIC_LNC011073)". Lineage: Eukaryota; Viridiplantae; Streptophyta; Magnoliopsida; Poales; Poaceae. The record is from RNAcentral.
GGUGUCGGUUGCAUUUGGGUCCUUUUCUCUAUUUAUUUGUUGAAUAUAUUUGAUACGACCUUCAACAAACUCCCCCAAGCUUACCUCUUGCUCGUCCGUGAGCAAGGAUAAUCUUAGUGAUGGAUCAGAAGUUGCUGUAAUGCCUUUGAGUUUUGACGGUACACAUGCUUUCAAAUAAGGUCUCAUCUCUGAGUUAGAGUAAACCGUCAAGACUUAAAACUUACUCAUUUUACCUUUCACCAUGGGACUUGUAACUGUCACUUCUGUCUUGAGUAGUUAAAAGAUAAAACAGUCUAGUCAAGCGCCAUAUCUUUUAUUCUUGAUCAGCUAUAGCUCUAGAGUUUUUUUUAUAGAUUUUCAAAUAAAACUCAGAGAUUCCUUAUAUGACUCUCUCAGAUCUCUCUUUUGUGGUAUUUCUGGAUCCUUACCAAGGCAGUGAUGGUAUAUGCCUUCUCUCAAAGUAUGUAAUAUUUGUGGUAUGAAGCAUAGUGACCUUGUCUUCUCUCUCACCCUACUUUAAUAAGGCUUUUGAUAUCUGGAGCUCAUAGGUGGGAGAUAAAGUAUACAUACUUACAAGACAUUUAUUGCAUAGUCAAACCAUGGAUCGAGAGAAACAAGUCAAUAAGUCAAAUCAAGAUGUGCAUGUGUGGCGAAUGAAUGGUGUAUGGUGAUGAUGGUGAUAACAAUGGUGAAAGUCUAAUUCUACUUUUUGCUCUUUUGAGGGGAUACAUACCUUUCUUGCUCUUUUGAAACUUUUUGAGGAGAAUGAGAUGCUCUACAUUUUCUUUUUUUUCUUUCCUCUCAGGUGGGUAUUGCACCCCUAAUUCUACUGUCGGACACUUGUCCAUUUUUACUUCUCGUCUCACUUUUUUCUUUUUCUUUCGAGGUUCGGUGCACUUGUCCCUUUUUUAUUUCCUCGUAUCAUUUCUCUUUUUUUAGAGCACUCAUCUCCUGAAAUAAUAUAGCAAGUGGUAGUAACCAAGAUAACUUGAGCAUUUAUUUCACAGAGAAAAAUAGAAAUAGGAGAAUGUUUUUGGCUAUUCUCUCCCGGAUUAGGAGUAGAAUACUUUUGGGUGGCUCUUGAGAUGGAAAUGAGUGGAUAUAUGUGAAUGCGUACUCCCAGAGUAGAAGCAGCAUGUGUGAGUGAACGUGCAAGUGAAUCUUGAUUUUAACCGCAUGACAAGCUCCUAAGGGUCUACACAGCUUGACCACACUCAAUGCUCAUAAGCAGUAAAAAGUAAUGUGUGGCUCAAAGUCUAGCAAGCAUGUAUAUAUGGCUGUGGUAGGAAUUUAAACUCUCAUCAUACAGGAACUCAUCAUGUGUUAUUUUAAAGAUUUCAAAGAUAAAAUUCUCCAGAAUUCUAGCAUCUCUAGGAACAGAUAAACAACAGCUCAACCUUCCCAUAUCAUAUCCGUUAACAACUUAGACUUCAGAUCAAGUUCUCUUCCCACAAGUUCAGGUUUUUAGAGCAAGCUUUAAAUUAUAACAGUUAUGUCUAAACUAGAGAGAGAACUCAAAUUUGAAAAUUAGGCAGAGCAACUAUUCAUCAUAUCCAUGCUAGAGUUUUAUUAAGAUUCAGUUUAGCAUAGCCACUUUAUUUAUUUAUUAAGCACACUAAGCAAAAUAUAUAUAUAUAUAUAUAUAUAUAUAUAUAUAUAUAUAUAUAAGCACAAAAUCUUUAUUUGGUUUUUCAUGGUUAUGUAUAUAUAUAUAUUUAUUUAUUUUAAUAU